CAAGGAAUACAACAGACUCUUGGUGGAUAUUAUAAUAAGGGAAACUUUGGUGAACAUGGAGCUGGUGGCCCAAAAGGAGAGAAGGGUGAAACUGGACAACCAGGAUUUCCAGGACCUGUUGGCCCUAAAGGUCAAAAAGGAGAAUCUGGGGAACCUUUUACAAAAGGUGAAAAGGGAGAUAAAG
This is a long non-coding RNA of Miniopterus natalensis, 184 nucleotides long. RefSeq lists it as uncharacterized. The record is from RefSeq and is a predicted model, not a curated record. NCBI's taxonomy places the organism in Eukaryota, Metazoa, Chordata, Mammalia, Chiroptera, Miniopteridae.